AAUCAUACUGACUCCAUAUGGUCACCAUAAAAUGUAAAGGUUUUAAUACCUCAAGGCUGAUCAAAAGUCAACUUCAAAUAUAAAUCAAUCAGAGACUUUUAACAUCUCAAGAUCGAUCAAAGGUCGAGUUUAGAUAUAAGCUGAUCUGAGGCUUUUAACAUCUCGAGACUGAUCAAAGAUCGAGUUUAGAUAUAAGUCGAUCUGAGGCAUUUAACAUCUCGAGGCUGAUUAAAGAUCCAGUAUAAAUAUAAGCCG
Molecule: long non-coding RNA, 255 nt
Filed under: Elaeis guineensis (African oil palm)
Lineage: Eukaryota; Viridiplantae; Streptophyta; Magnoliopsida; Arecales; Arecaceae
Description: long non-coding RNA (EGUI_LNC040295)
Source: RNAcentral